UGAGGAAUAUUGGUCAAUGGGCGGGAGCCUGAACCAGCCAAGCCGCGUGAGGGAGGAAGGCCCUAUGGGUCGUAAACCUCUUUUGUCAGGGAACAAAAGCGAGUAUGUAUACUAGUCUGAGUGUACCUGAAGAAAAACGCAUCGGCUAACUCCGUGCCAGCAGCCGUGGUAAUACGGAGGAUGCGAGCGUUGUCCGGAUUUAUUGGGUUUAAAGGGUGCGUAGGCGGCGGUGCAAGUCAGCGGUAAAAGCCCGGGGCUCAACCCCGGCGAGCCGUUGAAACUGCAGUGCUAGAGAAGGCGAGAGGUACGCGGAAUGCGCAGUGUAGCGGUGAAAUGCUUAGAUAUUGCGCAGAACUCCGAUUGCGAAGGCAGCGUACUGGCGCCUGACUGACGCUGAGGCACGAAAGCGUGGGGAUCGAACAGGAUUAGAUACC
Molecule: ribosomal RNA, 434 nt
Filed under: uncultured bacterium
Lineage: Bacteria
Description: bacterial SSU rRNA
Rfam family: Bacterial small subunit ribosomal RNA
Source: RNAcentral